Molecule: ribosomal RNA, 270 nt
Filed under: uncultured archaeon
Lineage: Archaea
Description: partial 16S ribosomal RNA
Rfam family: Archaeal small subunit ribosomal RNA
Source: RNAcentral
CAGCACCUCAAGUGGUCAGGAUGAUUAUUGGGCCUAAAGCGUCCGUAGCCGGACUAGUAAACCCUUGGGUAAAUUGGGCAGCUUAACUGUCCAAAUUCCGAGGGGACUGCUAGUCUUGGGACCGGGAGAGGUCAGAGGUACUCAAGGGGUAGGGGCUAAAUCCUGUAAUCCUUUGGGGACCACCAGUGGCGAAGGCGUCUGACUAGAACGGAUCCGACGGUAAGGGACGAAACCCUGGGGCGCGAACCGGAUUAGAUACCCGAGUAGUCC